Arabidopsis lyrata subsp. lyrata is the source of this 594-nucleotide long non-coding RNA. RefSeq lists it as uncharacterized. The transcript has 2 exons. The record is from RefSeq and is a predicted model, not a curated record. NCBI's taxonomy places the organism in Eukaryota, Viridiplantae, Streptophyta, Magnoliopsida, Brassicales, Brassicaceae.
GUUAAAAAAAAAGUGAAUUUUUAUAUCAGCUUCCGCUCGCUCAUCUACUACCACAUGACAACUUUGACCCGAAUACCCGUAUAUUGUCGGAUCUUUGAUUCCAUACCCAUUAAUUGUACCGUAAAAUAGUUCUGAGUUCUGACAAAAUGAGGCCCCAAUUUAGGGUUUAGUCUUUCGAUUGAGACAUAUGAUUUGGUUUUGGGGAUAUGAUCGGUGAAGUUUUUUGGGUUGAUGAUGGAACUUUUCAUGUUUAUGCAAAAAGUUUUCUAAUUUCUCAAGAAUUCACCGUUUUUUUUUUUUUUCUCGUGGAAUUUUAUCUCAGUAAUCAGUACCUUUAGUGAAGUCAGAGCAAAAACUUGUUUAUGCAAAAAGUUUUCUAAUUUCUCAAGAAUUCAGCUUUUUUUUUUUUUUCUCGUUAAAGUUUUUGCUCAGUAGCUUUAGCUUGAUACGUAGAACUGUUGCAGAGAUUAUCAUGUGGGAGCUGAGCCAGAAUCAUAGAAUACUUUUCCACACGGGAUUUGCGGACAGCUUGUUGGAUCUGCUUCUCAUGCUCUUUAAGCAAAUCUUCAAGAUUCCCACCAGGAGGCAUCAAUG